Salmo salar (Atlantic salmon) is the source of this 58-nucleotide non-coding RNA. Lineage: Eukaryota; Metazoa; Chordata; Actinopteri; Salmoniformes; Salmonidae. The record is from Rfam.
UGGCUCAGUUGGUAGAGCAUGGUGUGUGCAACACCAGGGUUGUGGGUUUGAUUCCCAU